GCCCAGGAAGAAGAGAGAAGACAACAACACACUUGUGUUCAUUGUGGAUGUCAAGGCUAACAAAACCAGACCAAACACGCUGUGAAGAAACUCUGACAUUGAUGUGGCCAAAGUUAACACCCUCAUAAGGCCUGAUGGAGAGAGGGUGUAUGUUCACUUGGCUCCAGAU
Non-coding RNA from Peromyscus maniculatus bairdii (prairie deer mouse), 169 nucleotides. The record is from RefSeq and is a predicted model, not a curated record. Lineage: Eukaryota; Metazoa; Chordata; Mammalia; Rodentia; Cricetidae.